RNAcentral lists this ribosomal RNA (441 nucleotides) under uncultured Chloroflexaceae bacterium. RNAcentral describes it as "bacterial SSU rRNA". It matches the Rfam family "Bacterial small subunit ribosomal RNA", at positions 338 to 796 of the family's 1533-position model. Lineage: Bacteria; Bacillati; Chloroflexota; Chloroflexia; Chloroflexales; Chloroflexaceae. The record is from RNAcentral.
CCUACGGGUGGCAGCAGCAAGGAAUUUUCCCCAAUGGGCGCAAGCCUGAGGGAGCAACGCCGCGUGCAGGACGACGGCCUUCGGGUUGUAAACUGCUUUUGGGGGGGAAGAUGAUGACGGUACCCCCCGAAGAAGCCCCGGCUAACUCCGUGCCAGCAGCCGCGGUAAGACGGAGGGGGCAAGCGUUGUCCGGACUUACUGGGCGUAAAGCGCACGUAGGCGGCCCGAUGCGUCGAUGCUGAAAGGGCCCCGCUUAACGGGGUCAGGCGUGUCGAUACGAUCAGGCUCGAGGCAGGCAGAGGGUGGCGGAAUUCCGGGUGUAGUGGUGAAAUGCGUAGAGAUCCGGAGGAACGCCUGUGGCGCAAGCGGCCACCUGGGCCUGACCUGACGCUGAGGUGCGACAGCGUGGGGAGCGAACCGGAUUAGAUACCCUAGUAGUCC